Molecule: ribosomal RNA, 465 nt
Filed under: uncultured bacterium
Lineage: Bacteria
Description: bacterial SSU rRNA
Rfam family: Bacterial small subunit ribosomal RNA
Source: RNAcentral
GACGAACGCUGGCGGCGUGCUUAAAACAUGCAAGUCGAACGGACUUCUCAUGAAGCUUGCGAUUGAGAAGUUAGUGGCGGACGGGUGAGUAACGCGUGGGCAACCUGCCCCUGAGCCCGGGAUAACAGUUCGAAAGGACUGCUAAGACCGGAUAUACUUGCGGUGAAGCAUUUCACUGCAAGGAAAGGGAACGCUCAGGGAUGGGCCCGCGUCCCAUUAGCUAGUUGGUGAGGUAACGGCCCACCAAGGCGACGAUGGGUAGCCGGCCUGAGAGGGUGAACGGCCACACUGGGACUGAGACACGGCCCAGACUCCUACGGGAGGCAGCAGUUGGGAAUCUUCGGCAAUGGGCGCAAGCCUGACCGAGCAACGCCGCGUGAGUGAUGAGGGUUUUCGGAUUGUAAAGCUCUGUCUUCCGGGACGAUAAUGACGGUACCGGAGGAGGAAGCCACGGCUAACUACGUG